Molecule: non-coding RNA, 72 nt
Organism: Lipotes vexillifer (Yangtze River dolphin)
Lineage: Eukaryota; Metazoa; Chordata; Mammalia; Artiodactyla; Lipotidae
Source: the annotation of a RefSeq genome assembly
UCCCUGGUGGUCCAGUGGUUAGGACUCAGUGCUUUCACUGCUGUGCCCCAGGUUCAAACCCUGGUCUGGGAA